GACGAACGCUGGCGGCGUGCCUAAUACAUGCAAGUCGAACGCUUCUUUCCUCCCGAGUGCUUGCACUCAAUUGGAAAGAGGAGUGGCGGACGGGUGAGGAACACGUGGGUAACCUACCCAUCAGAGGGGGAUAACACUUGGAAACAGGUGCUAAUACCGCAUAACAGUUUAUGCCGCAUGGCAUAAGAGUGAAAGGCGCUUUCGGGUGUCGCUGAUGGAUGGACCCGCGGUGCAUUAGCUAGUUGGUGAGGUAACGGCUCACCAAGGCCACGAUGCAUAGCCGACCUGAGAGGGUGAUCGGCCACACUGGGACUGAGACACGGCCCAGACUCCUACGGGAGGCAGCUGUAGGGAAUCUUCGGCAAUGGACGAAAGUCUGACCGAGCAACGCCGCGUGAGUGAAGAAGGUUUUCGGAUCGUAAAACUCUGUUGUUAGAGAAGAACAAGGACGUUAGUAACUGAACGUCCCCUGACGGUAUCUAACCAGAAAGCCACGGCUAACUACGUG
RNAcentral lists this ribosomal RNA (508 nucleotides) under uncultured bacterium. RNAcentral describes it as "partial 16S ribosomal RNA". It matches the Rfam family "Bacterial small subunit ribosomal RNA", at positions 28 to 507 of the family's 1533-position model. The record is from RNAcentral.